This is a long non-coding RNA of Haliotis rubra (blacklip abalone), 188 nucleotides long. RefSeq lists it as uncharacterized. The record is from RefSeq and is a predicted model, not a curated record. The transcript has 3 exons. NCBI's taxonomy places the organism in Eukaryota, Metazoa, Mollusca, Gastropoda, Lepetellida, Haliotidae.
AUGAAAGUUACACUGUUUAUCGUCAUUGUCAGCGCCGUUAUUGCGGUGAUAUCCAGCCAAGGGUGCAGGGAUGAUAGUGACUGUACUCACGUGACAUGUGACAGUUCCUCAAAGCUGGCCUGCUCUCAUGGACAAUGCACCUGUCUGGUCGCAGCCAAUGCAGGUUCAUGUCUUUCGGCCACAUGUAC